Long non-coding RNA from Podarcis muralis (Common wall lizard), 2658 nucleotides. RefSeq lists it as uncharacterized. NCBI's taxonomy places the organism in Eukaryota, Metazoa, Chordata, Lepidosauria, Squamata, Lacertidae. The record is from RefSeq and is a predicted model, not a curated record.
CCUGGCAAACUUCCUGGGGAAGGCUUUGCCAACCUGCUGCCCUCCAGAUGUUUUGGACUGGAACUCCCAUCAGCCCAAGCAAGCACAGUUUAGGAAAGCCUGUUCUAGGAGAUGUGGCUGGCCUCUAGGGACAAAUUGCUGAGGACUGCCAGUACAGGGAGCAGCAAAGUCAACCUCGUCUGCGAGAAGUACUAAAAGCAAGACAUAUUUAUUAUGCUUAACUGCUUAAAUUAUAAAAAGGCCACGCUCACAGCUCAAUGGGAAUUUGUGUGUGUUAUGUUUGCAAGGCAACACUGAGACUAAGGAGGAGAAGGCUGCGAGCCAGUGCCACCUCCUGAAAUGAUUGUGCAUUGCUCAAUUCACCAUCUGGAACUUGUUAGCAGUUCUAUAAGGAAGACUUUCUUUCUACAUUCAGUCCUCCUCAUGGGGCUGCAUAGACUGCUAGUAUUCCUGCAAGCUGAUUUAGUCAUCUGAGAGUGUUUGAAAGCAGAAGCAAUGGCUCCGAUUUCUGGAAAGCCACGAUAAGCGAAUGUGGGCUUUGGCACGGAAUUAAAUGCUAAGCAAACAUUGGAAGCAAUCCACUAAGCACAGAAGCUGCCCAUCUGUAUUCAUUUCCAUGGGGGUCUAUGCAGGGCAAUGAUGUCUCAGCACCAGCGGUGCAUCAAUGGCCUGGACUCGUUAAGAGCGAUGUUGCUUAAUGGCAGCGGUGACAGAAACUGCCUUCCAGAUGACUUGAGUCUUUGUAGCCAACACCCCCAUUCCCAAGAACACCUCAGAACAACAUCCAGAGCAUCCUCGGAAGAACAAAAUGGCAGCCACCGGGAGUGUCCAGUGUCAGAAGUUAAGUAAAAAAAAAAAAAGGAAGUUGAAGACAGUCCUGACACCACAGCAGAACCACAAAUGGAAGAAAUUGGUUCCCAAACAGACUCCUCUGCAUUCAUUUCCCAACAUAUGGAAAUUGGGCUGAAAGGGUCCUGUUCUGCUCAGUUUCCCACUCGUUCUGAAACAAAUGCACACCCUUCAUUUGCAGUAUGCUAUUCUAUUUCUUGUAACCACUGUAAGGCUCUCUUCACCGUGGAGCAUGGGAGCCCUUUCAGCUCUGCACCACAGUGGUAUGUGGGCAGAAAGUGCUGAUUGCGCUGCUCUUUCCAUGCCAUGGGCCACCCCUGCAAGGUUCAUGGUGUUCACGUAAAAACCUCAUUCUCAUUCCUAAUAUAUGUAGUUAAAACAGCCUUCCUCUCCAAAGGCUUAUAAAAAAUUAAAAAGGAUCGAUAAAGUAUACUUUGGAAGAAAAAUGGUUUGUCUAGGCAAUGUAAUUCUCAUUAUCCAAAUCUUCUGAAAUGAAACCUCCUGGGGCAAAAGGCUGAGCAAUUUGGGGCAUAUGCAGCUUAUUUUCAGGUAUAUAAGCCUUUUGGCAGUCACAUUUAAGUGGUGUUUGUUUUGGUUCGGUUUGUUCUGCUUCCACAUUCAUUCGCAGGGUUUACGAGAAAAACUUCGUGUUUCUGUGGUGAAGCACAGAAAUAGAUUCAUUUGCUUUGUGCUCUCCUUUCUCACAGGCAUUUGGCAGAGCGGUUCACAUGGCUAAGGAGGGGCAUGUUUCUGAAUGAGAGGUCUAGCCCGUGGCAGCAACAGAGCACUGCUGGAUACUAACCAAGCUGAACUGAACACAUCUCAGAAAACCCCUUUUGCAAGAAGGUCUGAACUAGAGCCUGCAUGUGGGGACAUUGGAGCAGGGCUUUUAUAUGUGCUCUGAUCCACUUCAAGCCCAUAUACAGUCACUCAAACAGGGUUCUGGUUCACACAGAAUGGAGGCUGUGCCAAUGGACAUUCAUUUCACUGAGAAGUGCCACAGUAUGUAAUCUAUUUUGCAUGCAAAAAAACCCCAAAACCCCAUACACACCACCCAUGGGCACCUCAUAAUGAGAGAAGAGAAGCUGAAACCCAGCAAAAUCUUAAAGGGAUUCCAAAGAGUCCUGGGAAUGAGGCAGAAAAAGGGACGCCUUUUCUGCAGGGAAAGACAACUUCCAAGAAAUUAGAGGUCAGGUUUUGGCAAAGCGCUAGUGUAAUUAAACAAGCAGUGCAGUAAAUCACAGGCUACAUAAUGUCUUUUAAAUUGGUUUCUAAUAACACAUGGCCCUUGUGAAAAGACACUUAGUGCUGGUUAUUAUUGCUAUUGCUAAUAUUAUUAAUAUUCAUAGGAUGGCAUUCAAUUAAGUUUUACUCAGAGUAUACUCACUGAAGUUAAUGAAGGUGACUAAGAUAGGCCCAUUAAUGUCAAUAUGUCUACUCUGGGUAAAACUUAGUUGAAUGCCACCCAUAACACCACCACUGUUGUUGUAAACCAUCUAUGCGUGACUCUCCUUUAACUCGAGCAGUAGCCACUGUUGACAGGAAUGGGAGGGUUCCAUCUUAUCUUUUGCUUCAGACAGCCAAAUGUUUUGGAACAACCCUGCCCUCCCAAAAAAUCUCACCCUCCCCUCCCCUAGCAUGCAGACUGUGUUGCUUGCAAACAUCUUGUCAAAAUACUUCUCAGUCAUGGCCAGAGUAUUUAAGAGAUGCUCUCCCUCCAUCCUUGCAACAACUACAAAAUCCUAAAGAGCAAUUUGUUGUUGCCUUUUGUUUCUGUACAGCCUUUCUCCAUGAUUUUGUUACAUACCU